RNAcentral lists this ribosomal RNA (465 nucleotides) under uncultured bacterium. Its description in RNAcentral is "partial 16S ribosomal RNA". It matches the Rfam family "Bacterial small subunit ribosomal RNA", at positions 28 to 506 of the family's 1533-position model. The record is from RNAcentral.
GACGAACGCUGGCGGCGUGCUUAACACAUGCAAGUCGAACGGUAAGGCUCCAGCUUGCUGGGGUACACGAGUGGCGAACGGGUGAGUAACACGUGGGUGACCUGCCCUGCACUUCGGGAUAAGCCUGGGAAACUGGGUCUAAUACCGGAUAGGACCAUGGUGUGGAUACUGUGGUGGAAAGUUUUUUCGGUGUGGGAUGGGCCCGCGGCCUAUCAGCUUGUUGGUGGGGUAAUGGCCUACCAAGGCGGCGACGGGUAGCCGGCCUGAGAGGGUGGACGGCCACAUUGGGACUGAGACACGGCCCAGACUCCUACGGGAGGCAGCAGUGGGGAAUAUUGCACAAUGGGCGGAAGCCUGAUGCAGCGACGCCGCGUGGGGGAUGACGGCCUUCGGGUGGUAAACUCCUUUCACCAUCGACGAAGGGUUUCUGACGGUAGAUGGAGAAGAAGCACCGGCUAACUACGU